GAUGAACGCUAGCGGCAGGCCUAACACAUGCAAGUCGAGGGGGAAGCGCUUUCGGGGGCAGUAACCGGCGCACUGGCGCGUGGCGCGUAUACAACCUACCUUUCACACUGGGAUAGCCGGAUGACAUUUGGAUUAGUACGCCAUAAUCUUAUAACAUGACAUCUUGUGAUAUUUAUAACUGCGAUGGUGAAAUAUGGGCAUUCCUCCUAUUCGCUAGUUGGAGUGGUAACGGCACCCCAAGGCUACGAUAGGUAGGGGUCGUGAGAGGGAGAACCCCCACACUGGUACAGGGACAGGGACCAGACUCCUAGGGGAGGCAGCGGUGAGGAAUAUAGGGCAAUGGUUGGAAGCCUGAACCAGCCAUGCCGCGUGGAGGAAGUAUGCCUUAUGAGGUGUUAACGGCAUUGAUAUGGGAAUGAUAAGGCGUACGUGUACGUUGAUGACGGUACCAUAUGAAUAAGCGACGGCUAACUCCGUG
This 478-nucleotide ribosomal RNA is filed under the name uncultured bacterium. RNAcentral describes it as "partial 16S ribosomal RNA". It matches the Rfam family "Bacterial small subunit ribosomal RNA", at positions 28 to 507 of the family's 1533-position model. The record is from RNAcentral.